GUGGGGAAUUUUGGACAAUGGGCGCAAGCCUGAUCCAGCAAUGCCGCGUGCAGGAAGAAGGCCUUCGGGUUGUAAACUGCUUUUGUACGGAACGAAAAGGCUCUGGUUAAUACCUGGGGCUCAUGACGGUACCGUAAGAAUAAGCACCGGCUAACUACGUGCCAGCAGCCGCGGUAAUACGUAGGGUGCAAGCGUUAAUCGGAAUUACUGGGCGUAAAGCGUGCGCAGGCGGUUUUGUAAGACAGACGUGAAAUCCCCGGGCGCAACCUGCGAAUGGCGUUUGUGACUGCAAAGCUGGAGUGCUGCAGAGGGGGAUGGAAUUCCGCGUGUAGCAGUGAAAUGCGUAGAUAUGCGGAGGAACACCGAUGGCGAAGGCAAUCCCCUGGGCCUGCACUGACGCUCAUGCACGAAAGCGUGGGGAGCAAACAGGAUUAGAUACCCGGGUAGUCC
RNAcentral lists this ribosomal RNA (450 nucleotides) under uncultured bacterium. RNAcentral describes it as "partial 16S ribosomal RNA". It matches the Rfam family "Bacterial small subunit ribosomal RNA", at positions 354 to 796 of the family's 1533-position model. The record is from RNAcentral.